RNAcentral lists this ribosomal RNA (323 nucleotides) under Escherichia coli. RNAcentral's name for it is "bacterial LSU rRNA". It matches the Rfam family "Bacterial large subunit ribosomal RNA", at positions 2625 to 2925 of the family's 2925-position model. The record is from RNAcentral. Lineage: Bacteria; Pseudomonadati; Pseudomonadota; Gammaproteobacteria; Enterobacterales; Enterobacteriaceae.
GACAGUUCGGUCCCUAUCUGCCGUGGGCGCUGGAGAACUGAGGGGGGCUGCUCCUAGUACGAGAGGACCGGAGUGGACGCAUCACUGGUGUUCGGGUUGUCAUGCCAAUGGCACUGCCCGGUAGCUAAAUGCGGAAGAGAUAAGUGCUGAAAGCAUCUAAGCACGAAACUUGCCCCGAGAUGAGUUCUCCCUGACUCCUUGAGAGUCCUGAAGGAACGUUGAAGACGACGACGUUGAUAGGCCGGGUGUGUAAGCGCAGCGAUGCGUUGAGCUAACCGGUACUAAUGAACCGUGAGGCUUAACCUUACAACGCCGAAGCUGUU